GGGAGUCUGGUGGAAUGGAAAACACAGAGCCCUCAAAAAGCUCCGACCUUAGUGUCAUUACGGGUUCGACUCCCGUGGCUCCUACCA
RNAcentral lists this transfer RNA (87 nucleotides) under Spirochaetota bacterium. Its description in RNAcentral is "Spirochaetes bacterium tRNA-Leu". It matches the Rfam family "tRNA". From Rfam's summary of the family: Transfer RNA (tRNA) molecules are approximately 80 nucleotides in length. Lineage: Bacteria; Pseudomonadati; Spirochaetota. The record is from RNAcentral.